GGAUGAACGCUGGCGGCGUGCCUAACACAUGCAAGUCGAGCGCGUCUGAUUUGAUGCUUGCAUUGAUGAAAGAUGAGCGGCGGACGGGUGAGUAACGCGUGGGUAACCUGCCCUAUACACAUGGAUAACAUACUGAAAAGUUUACUAAUACAUGAUAAUAUAUAUUUACGGCAUCGUAGAUAUAUCAAAGUGUUAGCGGUAUAGGAUGGACCCGCGUCUGAUUAGCUAGUUGGUGAGAUAACUGCCCACCAAGGCGACGAUCAGUAGCCGACCUGAGAGGGUGAUCGGCCACAUUGGAACUGAGACGCGGUCCAAACUCCUACGGGAGGCAGCAGUGGGGAAUAUUGCACAAUGGGCGCAAGCCUGAUGCAGCAACGCCGCGUGAACGAUGAAGGUCUUCGGAUCGUAAAGUUCUGUUGCAGGGGAAGAUAAUGACGGUACCCUGUGAGGAAGCCCCGGCUAACUACGUGCCAGCAGCCGCGGUAAUACGUAGGGGGCUAGCGUUAUCCGGAUUUACUGGGCGUAAAGGGUGCGUAGGUGGUCUUUCAAGUCGGUGGUUAAAGGCUACGGCUCAACCGUAGUUAGCCUCCGAAACUGGAAGACUUGAGUGCAGGAGAGGAAAGUGGAAUUCCCAGUGUAGCGGUGAAAUGCGUAGAUAUUGGGAGGAACACCAGUAGCGAAGGCGGCUUUCUGGACUGCAACUGACACUGAGGCACGAAAGCGUGGGUAGCAAACAGGAUUAGAUACCCUGGUAGUCCACGCUGUAAACGAUGAGUACUAGGUGUCGGGGGUUACCCCCCUCGGUGCCGCAGCUAACGCAUUAAGUACUCCGCCUGGGGAGUACGCACGCAAGUGUG
This 857-nucleotide ribosomal RNA is filed under the name uncultured Clostridia bacterium. RNAcentral's name for it is "bacterial SSU rRNA". It matches the Rfam family "Bacterial small subunit ribosomal RNA", at positions 27 to 896 of the family's 1533-position model. Lineage: Bacteria; Bacillati; Bacillota; Clostridia. The record is from RNAcentral.